RNAcentral lists this ribosomal RNA (766 nucleotides) under uncultured Planctomycetota bacterium. Its description in RNAcentral is "bacterial SSU rRNA". It matches the Rfam family "Bacterial small subunit ribosomal RNA", at positions 67 to 845 of the family's 1533-position model. Lineage: Bacteria; Pseudomonadati; Planctomycetota. The record is from RNAcentral.
CGGGCCUGGUAGCAAUAUCAGGUCAGUGGCGUAAGGGUGAGUAAGGCGACGGCAACCAACCCCAUGGUUGGGCAUAGCCGCGGGAAACUGCGGGUAAUUCCCAGCGAUGUUCGUGCCGGGCAUCCGGCGUGAACCAAAGUUGCGGCGCCGUGGGACGGGCCGUCGUGGUAUUAGGUAGUUGGCGGGGUAAUGGCCCACCAAGCCUCUGAUGCCUACCGGGCGUGCGAGCGUGGCCCGGCACACUGGGACUGAGACACUGCCCAGACUCCUACGGGAGGCUGCAGUCGAGAAUCUUCGGCAAUGGGCGCAAGCCUGACCGAGCGACGCCGCGUGGAGGAUGAAGGCCUUCGGGUUGUAAACUCCUGUCGAGGGGGAGGAAGGCGCAAGCUUGACCUAUCCCUGGAGGAAGCACGGGCUAAGUUCGUGCCAGCAGCCGCGGUAAGACGAACCGUGCGAACGUUAUUCGGAAUCACUGGGCUUAAAGCGCGUGUAGGCGGAUGGGGACGUCGGUUGCUGAAAUCCCCCGGCUCAACCGGGGAACGGGCACCGAAACGCCCCGUCUGGAGGGACGUAGGGGGACCUGGAACUUCCGGUGGAGCGGUGAAAUGCGUUGAGAUCGGAAGGAACGCCCGUGGCGAAAGCGAGGUCCUGGACGUUUUCUGACGCUGAGACGCGAAAGCUAGGGUAGCGAACGGGAUUAGAUACCCCGGUAGUCCUAGCUGUAAACGAUGGGCACUGGGUAGAGGGCUCGCCGAUGGGCUCUCUG